GACGAACGCUGGCGGCGUGCUUAACACAUGCAAGUCGAACGGUGAAGCCUGGGGCUUGCCUUGGGUGGAUGAGUGGCGAACGGGUGAGUAAUACGUGAGUAACCUGCCUUAGACUCUGGGAUACGCCUGGAAAACUGGGUAUUAUAGUGUAUGAGACAUGUAACCGUCUGCAGCUGUUUGGAAGGGGUUCUGCUGGUUAUGGAUGGGCUCGCGGCCUAUCAGCUUGUUGGUGGGGUAAUGGCUCACCAAGGCGACGACGGGUAGCCGGCCUGAGAGGGUGACCGGCCACACUGGGACUGAGACACGGCCCAGACUCCUACGGGAGGCAGCAGUGGGGAAUAUUGCACAAUGGGCGGAAGCCUGAUGCAGCGACGCCGCGUGAGGGAUGACGGCCUUCGGGUUGUAAACCUCUUUCAGCACGGAAGAAGCGAAAGUGACGGUACGUGCAGAAGAAGCGCCGGCUAACUACGUG
RNAcentral lists this ribosomal RNA (472 nucleotides) under uncultured bacterium. RNAcentral's name for it is "partial 16S ribosomal RNA". It matches the Rfam family "Bacterial small subunit ribosomal RNA", at positions 28 to 507 of the family's 1533-position model. The record is from RNAcentral.